Molecule: transfer RNA, 83 nt
Filed under: Candidatus Roizmanbacteria bacterium CG09_land_8_20_14_0_10_41_9
Lineage: Bacteria; Candidatus Roizmaniibacteriota
Description: tRNA-Tyr
Rfam family: tRNA
About the family: Transfer RNA (tRNA) molecules are approximately 80 nucleotides in length. Their secondary structure includes four short double-helical elements and three loops (D, anti-codon, and T loops).
Source: RNAcentral
CCAGGGGUACCAAAGCGGCCAAAUGGAGCUGACUGUAAAUCAGCUGGUUUAUACCUUCGGGGGUUCGAAUCCCUCCCCCUGGA